AGACCCGAAACCCGGUGAUCUAGCCAUGGGCAGGUUGAAGGUUGGGUAACACUAACUGGAGGACCGAACCGACUAAUGUUGAAAAAUUAGCGGAUGACCUGUGGCUGGGGGUGAAAGGCCAAUCAAACCGGGAGAUAGCUGGUUCUCCCCGAAAGCUAUUUAGGUAGCGCCUCGUGAAUUCAUCUCCGGGGGUAGAGCACUGUUUCGGCUAGGGGGCCAUCCCGGCUUACCAACCCGAUGCAAACUGCGAAUACCGGAGAAUGUUAUCACGGGAGACACACGGCGGGUGCUAACGUCCGUCGUGAAGAGGGAAACAACCCAGACCGCCAGCUAAGGUCCCAAAGUCAUGGUUAAGUGGGAAACGAUGUGGGAAGGCCCAGACAGCCAGGAUGUUGGCUUAGAAGCAGCCAUCAUUUAAAGAAAGCGUAAUAGCUCACUGGUCGAGUCGGCCUGCGCGGAAGAUGUAACGGGGCUAAACCAUGCACCGAAGCUGCGGCAGCGACGCUGAUGCGUUGUUGGGUAGGGGAGCGUUCUGUAAGCCUGCGAAGGUGUGUCGUGAGGCAUGCUGGAGGUAUCAGAAGUGCGAAUGCUGACAUAAGUAACGAUAAAGCGGGUGAAAAGCCCGCUCGCCGGAAGACCAAGGGUUCCUGUCCAACGUUAAUCGGGGCAGGGUGAGUCGACCCCUAAGGCGAGGCCGAAAGGCGUAGUCGAUGGGAAACGGGUUAAUAUUCCCGUACUUGGUGUUACUGCGAAGGGGGGACGGAGAAGGCUAUGUUGGCCGGGCGACGGUUGUCCCGGUUUAAGCGUGUAGGUGUGUGUUCCAGGUAAAUCCGGUUCACUUUAACACUGAGGCGUGACGACGAGGCACUACGGUGCUGAAGCAACAAAUGCCCUGCUUCCAGGAAAAGCCUCUAAGCAUCAGGUAACAUCAAAUCGUACCCCAAACCGACACAGGUGGUCAGGUAGAGAAUACCAAGGCGCUUGAGAGAACUCGGGUGAAGGAACUAGGCAAAAUGGUGCCGUAACUUCGGGAGAAGGCACGCUGACACGUAGGUGAAGUGAUUUACUCAUGGAGCUGAAGUCAGUCGAAGAUACCAGCUGGCUGCAACUGUUUAUUAAAAACACAGCACUGUGCAAACACGAAAGUGGACGUAUACGGUGUGACGCCUGCCCGGUGCCGGAAGGUUAAUUGAUGGGGUCAGCGCAAGCGAAGCUCCUGAUCGAAGCCCCGGUAAACGGCGGCCGUAACUAUAACGGUCCUAAGGUAGCGAAAUUCCUUGUCGGGUAAGUUCCGACCUGCACGAAUGGCGUAAUGAUGGCCAGGCUGUCUCCACCCGAGACUCAGUGAAAUUGAACUCGCUGUGAAGAUGCAGUGUACCCGCGGCAAGACGGAAAGACCCCGUGAACCUUUACUAUAGCUUGACACUGAACAUUGAGCCUUGAUGUGUAGGAUAGGUGGGAGGCUUUGAAGUGUGGACGCCAGUCUGCAUGGAGCCGACCUUGAAAUACCACCCUUUAAUGUUUGAUGUUCUAACGUGGACCCGUAAUCCGGGUUGCGGACAGUGUCUGGUGGGUAGUUUGACUGGGGCGGUCUCCUCCUAAAGAGUAACGGAGGAGCACGAAGGUUGGCUAAUCCUGGUCGGACAUCAGGAGGUUAGUGCAAUGGCAUAAGCCAGCUUGACUGCGAGCGUGACGGCGCGAGCAGGUGCGAAAGCAGGUCAUAGUGAUCCGGUGGUUCUGAAUGGAAGGGCCAUCGCUCAACGGAUAAAAGGUACUCCGGGGAUAACAGGCUGAUACCGCCCAAGAGUUCAUAUCGACGGCGGUGUUUGGCACCUCGAUGUCGGCUCAUCACAUCCUGGGGCUGAAGUAGGUCCCAAGGGUAUGGCUGUUCGCCAUUUAAAGUGGUACGCGAGCUGGGUUUAGAACGUCGUGAGACAGUUCGGUCCCUAUCUGCCGUGGGCGCUGGAGAACUGAGGGGGGCUGCUCCUAGUACGAGAGGACCGGAGUGGACGCAUCACUGGUGUUCGGGUUGUCAUGCCAAUGGCACUGCCCGGUAGCUAAAUGCGGAAGAGAUAAGUGCUGAAAGCAUCUAAGCACGAAACUUGCCCCGAGA
This 2113-nucleotide ribosomal RNA is filed under the name Salmonella enterica. RNAcentral's name for it is "partial 23S ribosomal RNA". It matches the Rfam family "Bacterial large subunit ribosomal RNA", at positions 711 to 2804 of the family's 2925-position model. Lineage: Bacteria; Pseudomonadati; Pseudomonadota; Gammaproteobacteria; Enterobacterales; Enterobacteriaceae. The record is from RNAcentral.